GAUGAACGCUGGCGGCGUGCCUAAUACAUGCAAGUCGAGCGAACAGACGAGGAGCUUGCUCCUCUGACGUUAGCGGCGGACGGGUGAGUAUCACGUGGAUAACCUACCUAUAAGACUGGGAUAACUUCGGGAAACCGGAGCUAAUACCGGAUAAUAUAUUGAACCGCAUGGUUCCAUAGUGAAAGACGGUUUUGCUGUCACUUAUAGAUGGAUCCGCGCCGCUUUAGCUAGUUGGUAAGGUAACGGCUUACCAAGGCAACGAUGCGUAGCCGACCUGAGAGCGUGGUCGCCCACACGGGAUCUGAGACACGUUCCAGACUCCUACGGGGGGCAGCAGUAGGGAAUCUUCCGCGAUGGGCGAAAGCCUGACGGUGCACCGCCGCGUGAGUGAUGAAGGUCUUCGGAUCGUAAAACUCUGUUAUUAGGGAAGAACAAAUGUGUAAGUAACUAUGCACGUCUUGACGGUACCUAAUCAGAAAGCCCCGGCUAACUUCGUG
Molecule: ribosomal RNA, 497 nt
Filed under: uncultured bacterium
Lineage: Bacteria
Description: partial 16S ribosomal RNA
Rfam family: Bacterial small subunit ribosomal RNA
Source: RNAcentral